GGAACGCCAUAGCUGUCUUAUGUGUCUUUUUUAUUGCUUUUCUAUUAUACGAAGAUGCUUUUCUAUUAUACGAUGGUGCUUUUCUAUUAUACGAUGGUGGUUUUCUAUUAUACGAAGGUGCUUUUCUAUUAUACUAAGGUGGUUUUCUAUUAUACGAAGGUGCUUUUCUAUUAUACGAUGGUGGUUUUCUAUUAUACGAAGGUGCUUUUCUAUUAUACGAUGGUGCUUUUCUAUUAUACGAUGGUGCUUUUUUAUUAUAAUAAGGUGCUUUUUUAUUAUGUGAUGGUGGUUCCCGUGAUUAACCGGAAGUGUGGAGUUUAUUUGAAAA
This is a long non-coding RNA of Mytilus californianus (California mussel), 328 nucleotides long. RefSeq lists it as uncharacterized. The transcript is spliced from 3 exons. The record is from RefSeq and is a predicted model, not a curated record. Lineage: Eukaryota; Metazoa; Mollusca; Bivalvia; Mytilida; Mytilidae.